Heterocephalus glaber (naked mole-rat) is the source of this 1208-nucleotide non-coding RNA. The record is from RefSeq and is a predicted model, not a curated record. NCBI's taxonomy places the organism in Eukaryota, Metazoa, Chordata, Mammalia, Rodentia, Bathyergidae.
UCAAUGUGGAUUUUAUGUUUUUCUCUUAUCACAAAAGAUAGCAAAGAAAUUCUGACUUAGAGAUUCAUAUGCGGUGCCAGGGCACCAGGUAACAUGGAAACUCAAGAGGGUCAUGGCUAACAUGACCCCAUUAUGACCCAUCAAGCCUUGGUAUUGUGAAUACAACUGGUCACUCAGGAGCAGAUCCCAGCCCUCAGAGCCUCCCCACUCAAGGUCACUCAGCUGUCCCUCAAGGUCACCCAGCUGUUCCUCAAGGCACCAAGCUGGCCCUGGUACCAGCCCCUGCUGCUCCCUGUGCCAGGAUCACCACUCCUCCACAUGUCGAGGGGGCGUGGCUCUCAUUUCCUUCUAAUGUCAAACAGGAAGAAAGCAGGGCUGGAGAUGAGAGCUUGAGAGUCACCAGAAAAAUACGAGCAGGGAGAAAGAGGAGGCAGCAACCCAGUGGUGCCCCUGAGAAGCCAGGGAACCAGGACUGAGACCCUGGAGAAGCCAAAGGAAGAGAGCGGCUAGAGAAGAACAGGGGAUCCAGGGGAGUGGCAGCUUGAACUCAUGUGAAAGCACCAAUGAGCCAACAGGGAGAAGAGGAGAGGAGCCCGCCACAAGGACAUUUUGGGAACUAGAAACCAGGUGGAUGAGAGCCUGUGCCCCAUUCAGUUCUCAGGAUCCUGGCCGACAUCCAGAAAGGAAACCGGAAACCAGUGAAGUUUCCAGCCACAGGCUCAGACAGCUGACGCCCACGCCCAGUUUCUGCAUUCGGAGCAUCCAAGCAGCCGAGCAUGUGCGCUCUGAAGCACGGGCAUGGCCACCCCACGCAUCUACCACAAAAGGCACAGCCAAGGCAGCUGGAGGAAACCGGGACUCUGCAAAGACAAGACAGCUUUUAAAAAUUACCAUGAACAUCCGUACAGAAAUAAGAGGAGCAGUGUUAUCCAUGAAAUGGUAACAGGGUACUCUAAGAUGAAUAUCCAGAGAAUAGAACGUACACUUCGGAAAAUCGUGAUGAUAAAACCGAGACACAAAAUAGAAGGAAUGGGUGAUAAAGUUGAGAAUCCCCCAAGAAGUACAAGGAAAAAAAUGCAAAGAAAUGGAAAAUAUGAAGAAAAAGACAGGAGCUGGGCAUGGUGGCACACACCUUGUAGUGUCAGCUACUUAGGAGGCUGAGGCAGCAGGAUCACAAAUUCCAGCCCAGCCUGUACAACUUACUGAGA